GGGGUUGUGGCUCAAGUGGUAGGUAGAGUGCUUGCCUAGCACGCAUGAGACACUGGGUUCGAUCCUCAGCACCACA
RNAcentral lists this transfer RNA (76 nucleotides) under Marmota monax (woodchuck). RNAcentral's name for it is "tRNA.Ala". Lineage: Eukaryota; Metazoa; Chordata; Mammalia; Rodentia; Sciuridae. The record is from RNAcentral.